UACAGAGGUGGCAAGCGUUGUUCGGAAUUACUGGGCGUAAAGGGCGCGUAGGCGGCUCGACAAGUCCCGCGUGAAAGCCCCCGGCUCAACUGGGGAACUGCGCGGGAAACUGUCGGACUUGAGUUCGGGAGAGGGAAGCGGAAUUCCGGGUGUAGCGGUGAAAUGCGUAGAUAUCGGGAGGAACACCGGUGGCGAAGGCGGCCCUCUGGUUGGAUACUGACGCUAAAACGCGAAAGCGUGGGGAGCAAACAGG
Molecule: ribosomal RNA, 253 nt
Filed under: uncultured bacterium
Lineage: Bacteria
Description: partial 16S ribosomal RNA
Rfam family: Bacterial small subunit ribosomal RNA
Source: RNAcentral